UUUUGGUACCUAACAGGCCUGGGGAGGCUUUCAGGUUAUUUCUAGCUCUGGUGUCUCUGGGCCUAGCGUCUGAAGUUCAUGUUAUCUUCAGCAGUAGGGACUUACUUUCUACCACUUGGGUGUGGGUAACCAAGGGCAUUAGCAGUAGCCUGUAAUGUUUUAGGGUUCUCUUGGACAAUCCUGACCAACGAAACCCAAAACAUUGGGUUUCUCGUGUGGUAUUGGGGAUUUUGUUAGAUGUUUUUGGCUCUUGGAGGGAGUAUUGUCAGCCCAGAUGAAAAUUUUUUCAUUUAAACUAUAUGUUUAUAUGAAGAAUUACGUAUAUUUAUGGAAUUUAAAGCUAUUUAUUGUGUAUGUGUGGUUGCUACUGUUAUGCCCAGGUCGCGGGGACCCCCAAAAGACCACUAGGGAGACCGAAUCCCAUAUGUAAAAACAAAGAGCCUUUAUUAUCUUCAAGCUCCGGGGUUUGGUCUCUCUGUCUGUCUGAAGCAGUGGUGAGAGCAGAGAGCCCUGAGCUCAGGCGGGGCAGAGUUUUUAAUCCUAGCAGUGGAUGGGGUGAGGGGAUUUCCAGGGUUCAGGACCUUGUUUUGGUUGACAUUUGUCUAGGGGUAUCUAUAAAACAAAAAUAGAUGUGUGUUAGACUCAGGGACAUCUGGCCACAUUUUCUAAUGUUUGGAAUGUUUGGGAUGUCAGGUACUUCCCCUUAGAUGUAGGCCCUCCCUGGGUGGGGUCAGCUUAUGACUUUUAAUGGGUCUGGGUGUUGCCUCAGUAAGUUUGUGUCACAGAAGCUGUGUCUGGGCCUCAAAGCCUGUCAUGGCAGCUGUGUGGUCCAGCUGUUUGGAGCCCUUGUACAGCUACAGCACACAUGUGGAAGUCAGAGGACAACUUUAGAGACUCUACAGGAGCAGGAUGGACAUAAAGCCAAAAAGCCAGCGUGUAAAUUUGAAGAGGGUCAGGAUGUCCUAGCUAGAUGGUCAGAUGGCUUGUUUUAUCUUGGAACUAUCAAAAAGAUAAACAUAUUGAAACAGAGCUGCUUCAUCAUAUUUGAGGACAGUUCCAAAUCCUGGGUUCUCUGGAAGGACAUCCAAACAGGAGCCACUGGGAGUGGGGAAAUGGUCUGUACAAUAUGUCAAGAAGAGUAUUCAGAAGCUCCCAAUGAAAUGGUUAUAUGUGAUAAGUGUGGUCAAGGGUAUCAUCAGUUGUGUCACACACCUCAUAUUGAUUCGAGUGUGAUUGAUUCAGAUGAAAAAUGGCUCUGUCGACAGUGUGUUUUUGCAACAACAACAAAGAGGGGUGGUGCGCUUAAGAAAGGACCAAAUGCCAAAGCAUUGCAAGUCAUGAAGCAGACCUUACCCUAUAGUGUGGCAGACCUUGAGUGGGAUGCAGGUCAUAAAACCAAUGUCCAGCAGUGUUACUGCUAUUGUGGAGGCCCUGGAGACUGGUAUUUAAAGAUGUUGCAGUGUUGCAAAUGUAAGCAGUGGUUUCAUGAGGCUUGUGUGCAAUGCCUUCAAAAGCCAAUGCUGUUUGGAGAUAGGUUUUAUACAUUUAUUUGCUCUGUCUGCAGUUCUGGACCAGAAUACCUCAAACGUCUACCAUUACAGUGGGUAGAUAUAGCACACCUAUGCCUUUACAACCUAAGUGUUAUUCACAAGAAGAAAUACUUUGACUCUGAACUUGAGCUUAUGACAUACAUUAAUGAAAACUGGGAUAGAUUGCACCCUGGAGAGCUGGCAGACACACCCAAAUCUGAAAGAUAUGAGCAUGUUCUGGAGGCAUUAAAUGAUUACAAGACCAUGUUUAUGUCUGGGAAAGAAAUAAAGAAGAAGAAGCAUUUGUUUGGGUUGCGAAUUCGUGUUCCUCCUGUGCCACCAAAUGUGGCUUUCAAAGCAGAGAAAGAACCUGAAGGAACAUCUCAUGAAUUUAAAAUUAAAGGCAGAAAGGCAUCCAAACCUGUAUCUGAUUCAAGGGACGUAAGCAAUGGGAUAGAAAAAAAAGGAAAGAAGAAAUCUGUAGGUCGUCCUCCUGGCCCAUAUACAAGAAAAAUGAUUCAGAAAACUGCUGAGCCACAUUUGGAUAAGGAAUCAGUUUCAGAGAAUUCUGCGUUGGAUUUACCUUGUUCUAUAGGGAGAACUGAGGGAAUUGCACAUUCAUCCAGUACCUCAGAUGUGGACUUCACGGGUGCUUCCAGUGCAAAAGAAACUACCUCAUCUAGCAUUUCCAGGCAUUAUGGAUUAUCUGACUCUAGAAAAAGAACUCGCACAGGAAGAGCUUGGCCUGCUGCAAUACCACAUCUGCGGAGAAGAAGAGGUCGCCUUCCAAGAAGAGCACUCCAGAUUCAGAACUCAGAAGUUGUAAAAGAUGAUGAAGGCAAAGAAGAAUACCAGUUUGAAGAACUUAACACAGAAAUCCUGAAUAACUUAGCCGAUCAGGAGCUGCAACUCAAUCACCUGAAAAACUCCAUCACUAGUUAUUUUGGUGCUGCGGGUAGAAUAGCAUGUGGUGAAAAAUACAGAGUUUUGGCUCGCCGGGUGACGCUUGAUGGGAAGCCAAAAGAAGCAGAGAACUUCAUUGUCCUGCAUUUGGUUCCUGGUUGACCCAGCAUUUAAGUGAAAACAAAAGAGCAAGCAAGCUGUAGAUCUUGGCAGCUGGUGGAAUAGGCAGACAUGAAGAUCGGACGAGCCAUCCUUUUGAGUUAGGCUCCAGCAUGUUCAGCAAGCAGCUACAAAGCAGAAGUGGAGAUUUUAGAAAAAGCGUCAUGAAAGUAUGCCCAGGUUUUUGAAGAAGGUAGAAGAAAAAGAAAAGACUGACUCAGAAGAGCAGGCAGACUUAAGAGAGACUUGGUAGCAGCUCCGGAAGAGACUGUAGGAGUCGAGAUGUGUGAUACAUUCUGACAUGGGAGAAACUUUGUAAGCAAACCGUUUGAAUCUCUUAAGGAAUGUAAUUUGUCAUUUAAAUGAUUUCCCAUUGGUUCUAAAACAAGCAUGUAAAACCUUCACAGACUUUUCAGCAUAUAAACCUGAAUUGCUGACACCACCACCAUGACCAUCAAAUUAACCACAGACCAAAAGUUGACUCUAUCGAAGUUGCUUUCUUGUAUGUUCCGAUCACGAGCUUCAAAUGCUCUAAGCAGAGUUUGUAUGUGGCCACUUUUGCUUAGUCUGGACUUGAUGCUGUUGAUGGAUUCCUGGAGAUAAAUACAGUAAUUUUACUAUUAAAAAUACUAAGGACACAUUCCUUUAGUAAUAUGCUUCAUGCUAUUUUUAAAAUCAAAACAAUUUUUUUAAAUAUAUGGGAAUACAAUUCAAUUAAAGUGCAGGUAUGACUUGUAUCACCUAGAGAUCCUCCAUGAGGCUUUAAAAUAGUAAUGAUAAAUUUAUUUAACAGAGAUUAAAAAUAUACCAUGAAUUGAAAAGAGAAGAUCAAAAUAUUUGAGUAGCAUAGCACCAGGACUUUUAUAUAUUUUAUCUCUCUUGUUAUUUGGCAAUUUUUACCUAAUCCAUUGUGUGUCUAUAGUAUUUUACUUUUGAAUGUUUUGUCAUCCAGGGAGGUCCAGCACACAUUAUAACAGAUGCAGGAGUUUGGAGUGAUCUAAGCGGCAAAAUCCAUGGAAUGCCAGCAAACCUCGCAGUGAAGAGUCCCAGAGCCUUCCAAAGGCUCAG
Peromyscus eremicus (cactus mouse) is the source of this 3659-nucleotide RNA transcript. It is a transcript of the gene named metal response element binding transcription factor 2, with no coding region annotated. Lineage: Eukaryota; Metazoa; Chordata; Mammalia; Rodentia; Cricetidae. The transcript has 21 exons. The record is from RefSeq and is a predicted model, not a curated record.